Molecule: unclassified non-coding RNA, 349 nt
Filed under: soil metagenome
Description: partial contains 5.8S ribosomal RNA, internal transcribed spacer 2, and large subunit ribosomal RNA
Rfam family: 5.8S ribosomal RNA (bases 1-120)
Source: RNAcentral
GAUGAAGAACGCAGCGAAAUGCGAUAAGUAAUGUGAAUUGCAGAAUUCAGUGAAUCAUCGAAUCUUUGAACGCACAUUGCGCCCGCCAGUAUUCUGGCGGGCAUGCCUGUCCGAGCGUCAUUUCAACCCUCGAACCCCUCCGGGGGGUCGGCGUUGGGGAUCGGCCCUUUACGGGGCCGGCCCCGAAAUACAGUGGCGGUCUCGCCGCAGCCUCUCCUGCGCAGUAGUUUGCACACUCGCAUCGGGAGCGCGGCGCGUCCACAGCCGUUAAACACCCCAAACUUCUGAAAUGUUGACCUCGGAUCAGGUAGGAAUACCCGCUGAACUUAAGCAUACAAUAAGCGGAGGA